RNAcentral lists this ribosomal RNA (433 nucleotides) under uncultured bacterium. RNAcentral's name for it is "partial 16S ribosomal RNA". It matches the Rfam family "Bacterial small subunit ribosomal RNA", at positions 29 to 507 of the family's 1533-position model. The record is from RNAcentral.
AACGAACGCUGGCGGCAUGCCUAACACAUGCAAGUCGAACGAGACCUUCGGGUCUAGUGGCGCACGGGUGCGUAACGCGUGGGAACCUGCCCUUAGGUUCGGAAUAACUCCCCGAAAGGGGUGCUAAUACCGGAUAAUGUCUUCGGACCAAAGAUUUAUCGCCUUUGGAUGGGCCCGCGUUGGAUUAGCUAGUUGGUAGGGUAAAAGCCUACCAAGGCGACGAUCCAUAGCUGGUCUGAGAGGAUGAUCAGUCACACUGGGACUGAGACACGGCCCAGACUCCUACGGGAGGCAGCAGUGGGGAAUAUUGGACAAUGGGCGAAAGACUGAGCCAGCAAUGCCGCGUGAGUGAUGAAGGCCUUAGGGUUGUAAAGCUCUUUUACCCGGGAUGAUAAUGACAGUACCGGGAGAAUAAGCGCCGGCUAACUCCGUG